UACGUAGGGCGCAAGCGUUGUCCGGAAUUAUUGGGCGUAAAGAGCUCGUAGGCGGUGUGUCGCGUCGGUCGUGAAAACUUGGGGCUUAACUCUGAGCUUGCGGUCGAUACUGGCAUCACUGGAGUUCGGCAGGGGAGACUGGAAUUCCUGGUGUAGCGGUGAAAUGCGCAGAUAUCAGGAGGAACACCGGUGGCGAAGGCGGGUCUCUGGGCCGAUACUGACGCUGAGGAGCGAAAGCGUGGGGAGCGAACAGG
This 254-nucleotide ribosomal RNA is filed under the name uncultured bacterium. Its description in RNAcentral is "partial 16S ribosomal RNA". It matches the Rfam family "Bacterial small subunit ribosomal RNA", at positions 524 to 776 of the family's 1533-position model. The record is from RNAcentral.